AUUGAACGCUGGCGGCAGGCCUAACACAUGCAAGUCGAGCGGAUGAAGGGAGCUUGCUCCUGGAUUCAGCGGCGGACGGGAGAGUCAUGCCUAGGAAUCUGCCUGGUAGUGGGGGAUCACGUCCGGAAACGGGCGCUAAUACCGCAUACGUCCUGAGGGAGAAAGUGGGGGAUCUUCGGACCUCGCGCUAUCAGAUGAGCCUAGGUCGGAUUAGCUGGUUGGUGGGGUAAAGGCCUACCAUGGCGACGAUCCGUAACAGGUCGGAGAGGAUGAGCAGUCGCCCUGGAACGGAGACCGGGCCCAGGGGCCUUCGGGCGGCACCCGUGGGGAAUAUUGGAGCAGGGGCGGGAACCUGUGCCCGCCAGGCCGCGUGUGUGAAGAAGGUCUUCUGUGUGUAAAGUACUUUUUGUUGGAGUGUAGGGCAGUAUGUUUUUACCUUGCUAUUAUGACGUUACCAACAGAAGAAGCACCGGCUAACUUCGUG
RNAcentral lists this ribosomal RNA (484 nucleotides) under uncultured bacterium. RNAcentral describes it as "partial 16S ribosomal RNA". It matches the Rfam family "Bacterial small subunit ribosomal RNA", at positions 30 to 507 of the family's 1533-position model. The record is from RNAcentral.